CCUUCACAUUAGCAAUCAAGAAGGGAUAACUCGCAUUUGAUUAGCUAAUAUUCUUUGAAGGAAGGAUAAAUAAUAAGCUGACAAUGAAAUGAAUGGUUAGUGAAGUGGAAAAAGUGAGUGAACAAAAUACUGAAGCUUCAACUUCAAAAUCAUCCUAACCACCGCCGAAGAAGAGACGGGGCCCGACACGAUGCAAGAAUGUCAUAAACGCGACAAACUUAUUACCAUUAAGGGUUAAUAAGUUUGGACAGCCGAUCGGCCCUGGAAGUGGUACAUAUAGUAAUUAUUUGGGAACACUUGCCCGGAAUGCUAAAUUGGCUCAUUUGUGCUAUAAAACUUGGUGGGAGAUGCCUAAACGGCUGAAGGAGGAUAUGUGGAACGUUGUAAAGGGAAAGUAUGAUGUGGGAAUCUUGUCAAAACAUUGGACAAUAUCCUCCAUCAGAAAAAAAUGGAGGGGCUAGAAGUGUGAAUUAAAAAGUGAAUAUUACUCGGUUAGGGAUACAGAUGCAGAAAGAUUAGCAAACCCACCACUUGAUGUUGAAAAGGAGCAUUGGGAAUUUUUGGUUAGGCAUUGGGGUACACCUAUUGCGAAGGAGGUCAGUAAAAAAAACAAAGAACGUCGUGGGAAUCAGACAAUGAUGCAUACUACAGGGACAAAAAGCUUUGCACGUGUUUCUGCCGAGAUUGAGGAAGACGAAGGUAUUCAGCUUUCUCGUGUAGAUUUAUUCAUUUGCACACAUGUAAAUAAGGAUGACAAAGCUACUGAUGCUGCUGCUUCGGAGAUGAUUGUAAGUUUUCAUACUUUCAUUUUGCAAAAAGGGGGUCACGUGCCUUGAAGUGAC
Cornus florida is the source of this 842-nucleotide long non-coding RNA. RefSeq lists it as uncharacterized. The transcript has 6 exons. Lineage: Eukaryota; Viridiplantae; Streptophyta; Magnoliopsida; Cornales; Cornaceae. The record is from RefSeq and is a predicted model, not a curated record.